GGCAGGGGAGAAAAAUGACUUGGGAAAAGCAAAAGAUAUAAUAAAUGAAAUGGAGAAACACAUUAGAAGUUGCCGCGGAGAGAGCAGGGAGGGAUACAAAAGCACAAGCACGCAGGUGUCUGGAAGCACCCUCUGUGUGUGUGUGUGUGUGUGUGUGUAGGUCUCGAGCCUUGCUCCCUUGUGGCUCUCAGUUUCCACAGUGAGAAGUGGAGUGGCUAGGCCAAGUAAAGGUUUAUAAUGCAGACCCCAGGGUGGACAGGUAGGGGUUUAUAAUGCAGAGCCCAGGGUGGACAGGUAGAGGUUUAUAAUGCAGAGCCCAGGGUGGACAGGUAGAGGUUUAUAAUGCAGAGCCCAGGAUGGACAGGUAGAGGUUUAUAAUGCAGAGCCCAGGAUGGACAGGUAGAGGUUUAUAAUGCAGAGCCCAGGAUGGACAGGUAGAGGUUUAUAAUGCAGAGCCAAGGGUGGUGCACCUGGCUGUGACAUACAUUACAUGACCAAAAGUAUGUGGCCACCUGCUCGUUGAACAUCUCAUUCUAAAAUCAUGGGGGUGGUCCUCCCUUUGCUGCUAUAACAGCCUUCACUUGGAAGGCUUUCUGCUGGAACAUACACCGAUCUCGACAAACCAUUGUUGUAUGGAUCUCGCUUUGUGCACAGGGGCAUUGUCAUGCUAAAACAGGAAAGGGUCUUUCCCAAAUGAUUGCCACAAAAUUGGAAGCACAGAAUCAUCUAGAAUGUCAUUGUAUGCUGUAGCAUUAAGAUUUCCCUACACUGGAACUAUGGGGCCUAGCCC
This 790-nucleotide long non-coding RNA is filed under the name Salmo salar (Atlantic salmon). RNAcentral describes it as "lncRNA (ENSSSAG00000087685.1)". The record is from RNAcentral. Lineage: Eukaryota; Metazoa; Chordata; Actinopteri; Salmoniformes; Salmonidae.